Molecule: long non-coding RNA, 614 nt
Organism: Hirundo rustica (Barn swallow)
Lineage: Eukaryota; Metazoa; Chordata; Aves; Passeriformes; Hirundinidae
Exons: 3
Source: RefSeq, a predicted model, not a curated record
GCUCCCGGCAUUUCACUGUGAGCUCUCCCUCCUCUGUUCUCCAUCCAGUUGUGGAAUACCAAGCAUUUCUUUACCCCAGUGCAGUAGCUGGUGCAUAGGACCCAGUGAAGAGUACAGUGGGAUAUUUAUUUUACAUCUGUUCCUGUGUUCUUGAGUAUUAAUAAUGCUGUGAAAAGCUAGAUGCUGGAAGGAUUGGUACAUAACACAGUCCAAGAGUUUUGCCUGCCAAGCAAUAGCACUUGGAAAUAAAUAGAGACAAAAAGUAAUACAAUAUCCUGAAGAACAGCUUCAAAAUGAUGAGCAGCACCACAGCCUGCCUUUCAGAUAAACCUUAUCCCAGCAAGUGUACUGGUACUUGAAAGAGUCCUUGAAUAACCUGCACGGAAGCUGAACCACCAGAGAGGCGCUACGUCGGAAAAGCAAGCAGAGGAAGGUACCAGAAGCAGUGCAGAGGAAACACUUCUGAAGGUUUCUAGGGUGUAAGCUGUGCGAAGUGGCGAGAGUACACGUCAUCUGCGUGGCUCUGAAUAAGCUGUGUAUUUCCCACUGGACUUGUGGCCAAAGCCUGCCCACGAAGGACCAAGCUUGACUGAACGAGAUGUGUUCCUCAGCAU